GAUCACUUCUCUUGGAGCCCUUCAGUGAGCCCAGGACAUGGGUUUUCAAUUUCAAGAGUUCUUGUCUGAGGGGUAAGUAUUUGUUUCCAUUUGUUACAAACAUUGGCAGUAAUUUUCUUCUGACAAAUACAUCUAGCAAGUGUCCUGUACAAAUACCUGGAAACCUAAAGCCCAAGAAUUGUGCUUUUCUGGUGAAAAAUCAUUUAUGAGGAACUGGAAAGACAAGGAGACUUAAUAUCCAACAGUGAUUGUCACAAAAAUGACAAAGUUUUCCCCAAACUUGGAAUUGUUAGCCUGGAAACAUGCCCUAGGCAAACAGGAAAAAGUGACUGCUUCAUUUUGCAAUUGGUUUUAUUUCCUGUCUCAUUGCUUCACUGCACUGCGAGAACCCCAGGGAAGUGGACAAGGUAGUUUAUUCAGUGCAUUCUUAUUGCUCUAAGAAUAUGAAAACAAUAUCCCAGCUUCACUAUGAAUUGACCUUGAUGAUCUGUAUAACAUUUGUCAGAGACUAAUAAAAUUUGUAAAUAUA
Gallus gallus (chicken) is the source of this 529-nucleotide long non-coding RNA. RefSeq lists it as uncharacterized. The transcript is spliced from 2 exons. The record is from RefSeq and is a predicted model, not a curated record. NCBI's taxonomy places the organism in Eukaryota, Metazoa, Chordata, Aves, Galliformes, Phasianidae.